Molecule: ribosomal RNA, 910 nt
Filed under: uncultured bacterium
Lineage: Bacteria
Description: bacterial SSU rRNA
Rfam family: Bacterial small subunit ribosomal RNA
Source: RNAcentral
ACGCUGGCGGCGUGCCUAAUACAUGCAAGUAGAACGCUGAAGAGAGGAGCUUGCUCUUCUUGGAUGAGUUGCGAACGGGUGAGUAACGCGUAGGUAACCUGCCUUGUAGCGGGGGAUAACUAUUGGAAACGAUAGCCAAUACCGCAUAACAAUGGAUGACCCAUGUCAUUUAUUUGAAAGGGGCAAAUGCUCCACUACAAGAUGGACCUGCGUUGUAUUAGCUAGUAGGUGAGGUAACGGCUCACCUAGGCGACGAUACAUAGCCGACCUGAGAGGGUGAUCGGCCACACUGGGACUGAGACACGGCCCAGACUCCUACGGGAGGCAGCAGUAGGGAAUCUUCGGCAAUGGGGGCAACCCUGACCGAGCAACGCCGCGUGAGUGAAGAAGGUUUUCGGAUCGUAAAGCUCUGUUGUAAGUCAAGAACGAGUGUGAGAGUGGAAAGUUCACACUGUGACGGUAGCUUACCAGAAAGGGACGGCUAACUACGUGCCAGCAGCCGCGGUAAUACGUAGGUCCCGAGCGUUGUCCGGAUUUAUUGGGCGUAAAGCGAGCGCAGGCGGUUUGAUAAGUCUGAAGUUAAAGGCUGUGGCUCAACCAUAGUUCGCUUUGGAAACUGUCAAACUUGAGUGCAGAAGGGGAGAGUGGAAUUCCAUGUGUAGCGGUGAAAUGCGUAGAUAUAUGGAGGAACACCGGUGGCGAAAGCGGCUCUCUGGUCUGUAACUGACGCUGAGGCUCGAAAGCGUGGGGAGCGAACAGGAUUAGAUACCCUGGUAGUCCACGCCGUAAACGAUGAGUGCUAGGUGUUGGAUCCUUUCCGGGAUUCAGUGCCGCAGCUAACGCAUUAAGCACUCCGCCUGGGGAGUACGACCGCAAGGUUGAAACUCAAAGGAAUUGACGGGGGCCCGCA